Long non-coding RNA from Bubalus bubalis (water buffalo), 2324 nucleotides. RefSeq lists it as uncharacterized. The record is from RefSeq and is a predicted model, not a curated record. NCBI's taxonomy places the organism in Eukaryota, Metazoa, Chordata, Mammalia, Artiodactyla, Bovidae. The transcript has 2 exons.
AGUAUACUUGCCUGGAGAAUCCCAUGGACAGAGGAGCCUGGUGGGCAACAGUCCAUACAGUCACAAAACAAUUGGACAUGACUGACUUAAAAACAGCACCCUACCUGUCUAUCAGUGGUCCGUCCAGACAACAGUAACAGCCAUGAAUAAUGAAAAGGAACAGGCCACUGACCACAGGAACCUCCAAGGCCUUCCGCUAAGUUGAAGAGGCUGGCUAGCUACUGCCUUCCAUAUGCUGCACAGACAGGCAGAGAGAGCACACCAGCUGUCACCAGAGGCUGCGAUUUGGGGCAGGGGGUGGGUUCCCAGGGGCACCGGAGAACUUUCUGGGGUGGUGGAAAGUGCUAUGCCUUGAUUGUGGUGGUGGUUACAAACCAUAUGCAGUUGUCAGAAUUCAUGGAACCAUAGGUCUUAAAAGGGUAAUUUCCUAAAUUAUAUCUCAAACACCAGACUUAAAAAAUGCUUUCGUGCAUUUCAAAAAGCCACUGUGAACCACAAAACAACUGCCUGCUUCCUUUCAAGUGUUUUUGUUGUGACCUCAAGGGCCGACCACAUGGGGAGAGAUUCCUUUUUCAUUCUGGCUUAGUCAGACCGAGCUGCCCUAAUGAAAUGCCAUAGACUGCUGGCUUACACAACAGAAAUUUAUCUUCUCACAGUGCUGGAGGCUGGAAGUCCAAGAUCCAGGUGGCAGCCGACCCAGUUCCUCCCGACCCACAUGGCCUCCCUGUGGAUUCAGGCUAGACUCCAUGGGACUCACUGGUACUCUACUACCUUACGAGCAUGCAAUCCUCAGAGACUUUGCCAUCAAGGAUUUCCAUUGGCUGUACAUCUCCUGUGAUACUUCAGCCUGAAACCCAUCCCUAAUUGUUUUCAAGCCCUGGAUGAAUGCUCUCUAUUCCAGUUCCCUUAUACAGACACUCAUUUAUCACAGCUACACCACCGUUCUGCCAGAUGACUCAGACUCUUCUUAAUAUAUUUAGAUAUUUUCAAUAAAACACAGCAGUUCCAAAUAAAAUUGGGUUUGUGGUUUAAGUUUUAAGAUGUGACAUUCCUGUUGCUUUGUUGGAAUCGUCAAAUAACUUUAAAAUGAGUUGGAGGAAAGAUGGCUUGUAAAUACAUUUACACACACACACUCUCACUCUGCACAUACACCCUGAUAUACACUGACAUUGACCAAACUAAAUUUUUUAAAGGAAAAAAAAGUCAUUAUGCUUAAAUGAGAAGAACUGAAACUCAUGCAGCAAACUUUGAGGAUUUUCAGACGAUGGCAUUAUAGUUUUAUCAGAGUGUAAGAAGACACUGAGAAAUAACAGACACAGCGUGUUCUGGAGUUCCUCACAGUGCAAAACAUUGUAAACAAAGUGAAGAAGAAGAAAAAAAAAAAGCCUAUGGAGUCCCACACUAGCCACAGCUCAAAGGACAAAAGCCCGUGGCCCAGGAAGGAGAAGGGGAAGACAGGGGGCUGCUUCUUUUGAGCCACUUGACCUCUGCUGGAACAGGCUGGAGUCAACCAGCCAUGUGAAACUUCUCCACCCCCAUUGCCACCCCCAGCCUUUGACAUAACUUCUUAAUGGCUCUAUUCUUCCAGAACUCUGGGUCCAGACCCUGCAGGAUCAUUUUAACCAGUGUAUUCACUGAGGCCAAUCCAUCUACUUUGAUUCAUCCGCUGUAAUCUCAUUUCCUGAGCCAUUUGCUCCAACUCUGCACCCCCUCUGGCCUCUAAAUCAGCUCUACAGGAGCCAGGUAAGAGGGUGCAGGCAUCCGCCCACCCUCUGCUCUGGCUCAGCCUGGCACAGACCUGAAGUUUCCUGGGCACGUCCCUUGAGUGCCAUGAGCAGUGGAAUUAGAAGCUGGAGCAUUUUCUUUUCAUUCCAGUCCAGAAUUUCCCAACCCGGGCCCCGAGCCAAAGCUGACAAAAUGCCAGCCGUGGCUGCUUCAGUGGCGGCCAUCACAAACGCAUGGCGGGGCUGGUCCCGGGUGACGUCACAGGAAGCCCGGGGUCAGGAGGAAGCAGGGGCCGCGGGGCAGCCAGGCUCAGGAGCCUCCGCACAGCCCGCUCCCUGCCCGUCUGCCUUCUCUCUGCAGCAGGGACUAGGGGGACACCAUAUCAGGCACACUUGUCUGCACCCACUCCCCCACCCACGACUGUGAGUCUCUUGAGGAGGCGUGUGUUCUAGUGUCUGCUUGAGCAUUAAAGGGCUCUGGGUCUUUGGGUGAGUUUUCAUAUUCUCGGGAAGCGGAUCCCAAAGCCUGCUAUUGUGACCAAACCCAGGUCUAGCUGCUCACUGCUCAAAAGCCAAUAAAGGGGCCAGGUAGGCGGAAAG